ACUCAAAUGUGGGGCACACUUC
Molecule: microRNA, 22 nt
Filed under: Mus musculus (house mouse)
Lineage: Eukaryota; Metazoa; Chordata; Mammalia; Rodentia; Muridae
Description: mmu-miR-295-5p
Gene: mmu-miR-295-5p
Source: miRBase by way of RNAcentral